GCGUUGCUCGGAAUUAUUGGGCGUAAAGGGUAGGUAGGUGGUCUCAUUUGUCUGGGGUGAAAGCCUUGAGCUUAACUCGAGAAGUGCCCCAGAAACGGUGAGACUAGAGUCCUGGAGAGGGUCGUGGAAUUCCCGGUGUAGCGGUGAAAUGCGUAGAGAUCGGGAGGAACACCAGAGGCGAAGGCGGCGACCUGGACAGGCACUGACACUCAACUACGAAAGCGUGGGGAGCAAACAGG
Molecule: ribosomal RNA, 239 nt
Filed under: uncultured bacterium
Lineage: Bacteria
Description: partial 16S ribosomal RNA
Rfam family: Bacterial small subunit ribosomal RNA
Source: RNAcentral